UAGUUUUCGCCGAUGUGAACGCUGACCAAGCCGAACUGAAGAUUGACAAGGCAGAUGUAAAGCCGUCAGUGGCUGAUACAUCUGAUGGUACUCUUCCUGUUGCUAUGCCAAAUUCUUUGAUGACAGUUGAAACUAAGCCGUUGCUUUAUGUCACACUCAGCAAUGACCUAUCGCAGUUUAUGAUAGAGCUUGCACCAGACAACAAUGCCAGUAAAAGCAGUGCAAUGAAAUGAAAGUUACCGGGCCACAUCAAUCCUCAAGAUUAUAAGAUUAUACCUAAGCGGCUGAGCUGUUUUAAUAUUUCUGUUUCAUUCUAAUAUAUAAUGAACCAUAGGUCAAUAAACUGUUUAUGAUUUUUGA
Molecule: long non-coding RNA, 360 nt
Organism: Pararge aegeria (speckled wood butterfly)
Lineage: Eukaryota; Metazoa; Arthropoda; Insecta; Lepidoptera; Nymphalidae
Exons: 2
Source: RefSeq, a predicted model, not a curated record